ACUGAACGCUGGCGGAAUGCUUUACACAUGCAAGUCGAACGGCAGCACGGACUUCGGUCUGGUGGCGAGUGGCGAACGGGUGAGUAAUACAUCGGAACGUGCCCAAUCGUGGGGGAUAACGUAGCGAAAGCUACGCUAAUACCGCAUACGAUCUAAGGAUGAAAGCGGGGGAUCGCAAGACCUCGCGCGAUUGGAGCGGCCGAUGGCAGAUUAGGUAGUUGGUAGGGUAAAGGCCUACCAAGCCGACGAUCUGGAGCUGGUCUGAGAGGAUGAACAACCACACUGGGAAUGAGACACGGCCCAGAACCCUACGGGAGGCAGCAGUGGGGAAUAUUGGACAAUGGACGCAAGUCUGAUCCAGCCAUUCCGCGUGCAGGAUGAAGGCCCUCGGGUUGUAAACUGCUUUUGUACAGAACGAAAAGGCUCAGGUUAAUACCUAGGGCUCAUGACGGUACUGUAAGAAUAAGCACCGGCAAACUACGUGCCAGCCGCCGCCGUAA
RNAcentral lists this ribosomal RNA (500 nucleotides) under uncultured bacterium. RNAcentral's name for it is "partial 16S ribosomal RNA". It matches the Rfam family "Bacterial small subunit ribosomal RNA", at positions 30 to 523 of the family's 1533-position model. The record is from RNAcentral.